GCAAGCGCUGGAUGCAGAGGUUUAUCGAUCGAUUCGUGCUUUCGAUGUAACUCUCUUUUUUUUUUUUCUUUAACAUCGAAAUUAAACAAAAGAAUUUCCCAGGAAUUGAUCGAUGAACCGCUGCCUCCAGCGACUUCA
Molecule: microRNA precursor, 138 nt
Filed under: Camelina sativa (false flax)
Lineage: Eukaryota; Viridiplantae; Streptophyta; Magnoliopsida; Brassicales; Brassicaceae
Description: miR162b stem-loop (cas-MIR162b)
Gene: cas-MIR162b
Rfam family: MIR162_1 microRNA precursor family
Source: miRBase by way of RNAcentral